This is an RNA transcript of Vitis vinifera (wine grape), 3330 nucleotides long. It is a transcript of the gene named protein FAR1-RELATED SEQUENCE 2, with no coding region annotated. NCBI's taxonomy places the organism in Eukaryota, Viridiplantae, Streptophyta, Magnoliopsida, Vitales, Vitaceae. The record is from RefSeq and is a predicted model, not a curated record. The transcript is spliced from 10 exons.
CAGAGGUACGAUGCUCUGCUCUUAUUUUCUCUUCCAUUUUCUUAGGGUUUUCCAAUUUUGCCCCCCGUUUGGCUGCCGAGAAAUCUCAGGAGAGACAAAAAAUCAGUUUUUCUUUUUAAUCCUUUUUUCAAUUUGAAUCUUACAUCUUAUGUGGAUUUGGUUGCUAAAAAAUAAAGAAGAAAUGGAGACCUGAACUCGUCGAAUGAGGCUCGGUCUGAGUGGAGGUUCUGGAUUCUGCAUUUUCUUGGCGACCAAACAGAGCCUUAGGGCGGUUUAGAGUUAUUUUGUGAUUGGGUGUCCAGGGAAAAUUAAUUUUACAUAAAUAGUAUUUUCUCCAUGGAGAUUGAUCUCGAACUGCCUUCAGGCCAAGACGACAAAUUCAACACUGGAUCAAAGAUGAAUAAUGAUAUUGUUGAUGUCCCUGAUGGAAUUCAUGUUGGUGAAGAUGUUCAUGCUCCUACAAUAGGUGAACAAAUUAAGGAAAACCUUGGAGAGAAUGUGGGUGAAGAUGUUAUUGGUGGUGGGGAUCAAGUAGAUGUGAACACACUUGGAGCAGUUAGCGGGGCCAUAAAUUAUGAGCCCCAAAAUGGUUUGGAAUUUGAAUCAAAGGAGGCAGCAUAUUCUUUUUACAGAGAAUAUGCUAGGUCUGUGGGGUUUGGUAUCACAAUAAAAGCCAGUCGCCGUUCAAAACGAUCCGGGAAAUUCAUUGAUGUAAAAAUUGCAUGUUCUAGAUUUGGAAGCAAGCGGGAGUCCAGUACAACUGUUAAUCAACGAUCAUGUCCAAAAACAGACUGCAAGGCUAGCAUGCAUAUGAAGAGAAGGCAAGAUGGAAAAUGGACUAUAUAUAGUUUUGUAAAAGAGCACAACCAUGAAAUUUGUCCAGAUGAUUUUUAUUAUGCUAUCAGGGGGCGGAACAAGCAAUCUGGUGUGGUUGCUCUUCAGAAGAAAGGACUGCAGUUGGCUUUAGAAGGGGAAGAUGUAAAGAUGUUGCUUGAGCAUUUUAUCCGCAUGCAAGAUGAGAGUCCCAACUUUUAUUAUGCUAUUGAUUUGGACCAUGAAAAACGUUUGAGAAAUGUUUUCUGGGUUGAUGCAAAGGGUAGGCAUGAUUAUAGUAAUUUCUGCGAUGUAGUCUUCUUUGAUACUUCUUAUGUUAGAGACAAAUACAGAAUCCCCUUAGUUCCUAUUGUUGGAGUGAAUAAUCAUUUCCAGUUCAUUAUGUUUGGAUGUGCAUUAAUUGGGGAUGAGUGUGCAUCAAGUUUUGUUUGGUUAAUGCGGACAUGGCUUAAAGCAAUGGGUGGUGAAGCUCCAGAUGUGAUUAUUACUGAUCAAGAAAAAUCGUUGAAAGAAGCUAUCCCAGAAGUGUUUCCUGAUGCACACCAUUGUUUUUGUGUGUGGCAUAUAUUGAGAAAGAUUCCUGAAUAUUUAAGUGGUAUUAUGAAUCAGUAUGAAAGUUUUAUGGAAAAUUUUAACAAAUGCAUUUCUCGUUCUUGGACAGAAGAACAGUUUGAAAAGAGAUGGUGGAAAAUGCUUGAUAAAUUUGGACUUAAGGAGGAUCCAAGGUUUCGAUUAUUGUAUGAAGAUCGCCAAAAGUGGGUCCCAGCUUAUCUAGGGAAAAUUUGUUUAGCUGGUAUAUCUAGGAAUGACCUAUAUGGAAGUAUAACCUCUUUCUUGGACAAGUAUGUGCAUAAAGAUACUACAUUUAAGGAGUUUUUGGUGCAAUACAAAGCAUUUUCUCAAGACAGGUAUGAAAUGGAAGCUAAAGCUGAUUAUGAAACACAACAGAAGCAACCAACCUUAAGAUCUUUGUCACCUUUUGAGAAACAAAUGUCAACAAUUUAUACACAUGAAGUGUUCAAAAAGUUCCAGGCUGAGGUUUUGGGAGUGGUUGGGUGUCAAUUGCAGAAAGAACGUGAAAAUGAGGGAACCAUGAUAUUUCAAGUUGAUGAUUUUGAAGAACGUCAGGAUUUCAUUGUAGCUUGGAAUAAAACAGAUUCAAAUAUUUGUUGUUUGUGUCGUUCAUUUGAAUACAAAGGUUUCCUUUGUAGACACGCAUUGCUUAUUCUUCAAAUAUCUGGUGUAUCCAACAUCCCAUCUCACUAUAUAUUGAAGCGUUGGACAAAAGAUGCAAAGAUCGGGCGAACUACAGGUGAAGUAUCUAAUGGGCUUCAAUAUCGGGUGCAACGUUUCAAUGAUCUAUGUAAACGGGCUAUUAAAUUGAGUGAAGAAGGGUCUUUAUCUCAAGAAACCUUUGAUAUUGCAAUUGAGGCAUUAGACGAAGCCUUGAAACAUUGUGUCGGUGUGAACAAUUCUAUUACGAGUGUUUUAGAGCCCAAUAUGUUGGCUAUUCACGGUUUUCUUGAUAUUGAAGUAGAGAAUCACUCAAACAAUACGACCAAGGCAUCUAAGAAAAAGAAGGCAUAUAAAAAAAGAAAGGUACGUUCUGAUUCAGAGGGACUAACUAUCGGGAUGCAAGACAGCUGCCAGCAGAUGGAACAGUUGGACUCAAGAAUGCACACCCUUGAUAAUUGUUAUGUUCCUCAACAGGACAUGCAAGGGAUGGAACUCGGCUCUAGAGAACCAAGUCUUGAUGGCUAUUAUAGUGCUCAACAAAAUAUGCAAGGAAUGGGACAAUUGAACUCAAUACCACCUAUUCGUGAUGGCUAUUUUAGCAAUCAACAAGGCAUGCAGGGGCUGGGACAACUAAAUUCAAUACAAACACGUGUGAGCCAUUAUGGGGCCCAACAGAGCAUGCAGGGACUGUUGCAGGGACAGCUUAGUUUCAGAGCACCAGCCAUGCAGGGUUGUUUUGACAUUCAGGACAGUCUGCAAGAUAUGGAACAAUCCGUAGGUUCCUCACAAUUUCAUGGCAUUGUGACAAAACAUCUGCAUGGCAAACACCUCUCUCGGUAGCUGAAUAGUAGUUGAAUCCUCCAUACCAUUUAGAUGAAAAAAGAUAGAACCGUGGUUGUGAAUUCGUCCUCAACUUGAUGUCCGAUCAUCCAAAUGUAUGGGUUCUUUGUCUCUAUCGGUUUCAUCAUGGAUUGUGCACAUACACACACAUAGAGCCAACAGCCUUUUCUUCAACUACUGGUGAUCAUGGGACAACCUGGAAUUUUGUACAUUUGUUAAAAUCAUUGUAUGAAGUUCAUUAAUUGUAAGCUUUGACUCUUCUAGUCUUUUUAUCAAUGAUUGACAAAGAAAUAUCUUCGUGCAAAUUGGUUUUGCCCUUUUCUUCUCCUUGGCUUUCUCAUUGUAAGCAGAAAUAAAUUCAUUUGAUUUCGUCUUGGCUCCAUUGUUAUCUAUUAAUUCAAGUUAGAGAUUUUCCUCCCA